RNAcentral lists this ribosomal RNA (222 nucleotides) under uncultured bacterium. RNAcentral describes it as "partial 16S ribosomal RNA". It matches the Rfam family "Bacterial small subunit ribosomal RNA", at positions 57 to 305 of the family's 1533-position model. The record is from RNAcentral.
GCAAGUCGAGCGCUUCACUUCGGUGAGGAGCGGCGGACGGGUUAGUAACGCGUGGGAAUAUACCCUUCACUACGGAAUAGCCUCGGGAAACUGAGAGUAAUACCGUAUACGCCCUUCGGGGGAAAGAUUUAUCGGUGAAGGAUUAGCCCGCGUCUGAUUAGAUAGUUGGUGGGGUAAUGGCCUACCAAGUCUACGAUCAGUAGCUGGUUUGAGAGGAUGAUC